This 74-nucleotide transfer RNA is filed under the name Opitutales bacterium. Its description in RNAcentral is "tRNA-Gly". It matches the Rfam family "tRNA". Rfam says of the family: Transfer RNA (tRNA) molecules are approximately 80 nucleotides in length. Their secondary structure includes four short double-helical elements and three loops (D, anti-codon, and T loops). Further hydrogen bonds mediate the characteristic L-shaped molecular structure. tRNAs have two regions of fundamental functional importance: the anti-codon, which is responsible for specific mRNA codon recognition, and the 3' end, to which the tRNAs corresponding amino acid is attached (by aminoacyl-tRNA synthetases). tRNAs cope with the degeneracy of the genetic code in two manners: having more than one tRNA (with a specific anti-codon) for a particular amino acid; and 'wobble' base-pairing, i.e. permitting non-standard base-pairing at the 3rd anti-codon position. Lineage: Bacteria; Pseudomonadati; Verrucomicrobiota; Opitutia; Opitutales. RNAcentral also lists the same sequence under 1 other name. The record is from RNAcentral.
GCGGGCGUAGUUUAGUGGUAGAACCUCUGUUUUCCAAGCAGAUUGUGUCAGUUCGAUUCUGUCCGCCCGCACCA